AAGCGACAGGCUUUCGCCCGACAGUUCUGGGGGGAAAUAAUGGUAUUCGGGUUCGUUAGCACGUCCUUCGGGGAACAGUUUUUCUUGGAGAGGCAGUGGCUCUUGGUGAGACGAUUUUGUGCGCUUCAGCUAGCGCGCUUAGAAGCGUAAACAUCGACUCGAAGCGGGGCGCUGGGGGCCUCGUGCUCCGGCGCGCGAGCUUUGGGGUGUGCGCACUGCGGCGUUGACUGCGACUGGCGCGUGACAGGGGCAACCAGCAGACCGACGCCAGACCCGCGUGAAAAAAAAAAAAGUUAUCCUGUCAACCGAUUCAAAUACUUUCUGGAUUUACAGCUCAACGUGAAUUUUGUCUGGGCAAACGCGUCGUUCUCCGUGCGUCCCAGUCGGAGCACUGUUCGGUUCAACGCCCAAGGGCAACAUAAAUGCGCCGCAGACGCAGUACGUGGUUAGUUGGAGUGUUUUUUGACUGGAAAACCGCGUCGAAUGAAUCCGCUGACCCAGCCUCGCCUUCCAGGUUGUGAGAAAUUACGCGUCGGUCAUCAGAGAGGAAAGACUGGUAGGGAAGCUGCAGAUACGCUGGUCAUCCCCAACCGUCUUCCCUACUCGGACCGGGCAGUGAUCCCUGGCAACACACCUGGAUAAGCACCAUGGGAAGAGUAGCUUUCUUACUAUGGAAGAGGGAGUGGACAGCGUCUAAGGCCUCUCUGAGUCAUGAGGUUGCUUGAUGGGAACCAACUUUCAUACUAUCUGAAGAUCUCUACCAAAAAGCACUAAGGACUUCGAAGACUACUUCAAUGUAAACCAUUCAGGGCUGUCCAAGGGCGACACAUUACCAAUUCAAACAACAGCAAUGAAGAUGACACAACGACUAUAUCCGACUCUCAACAUUGUGUACCAGAGCUCUCUAUCCCUGGUCCUAAUCAACCUUGUUCCCCAAUCAAGUCAGUGCUGGGGUCUCCAAUAUUUAUCCUGGAGAGUCCCCAUCCAAUAAGUCUCAUGGGUCAUCUGUUUUAAAAGACGAGCAAUGCUUGCAAGCAGUUAAUGAAAAAAGUAAAUCAUCCAUUCGAUUAAGAGAGCUAUGGUCCUUGAGGGAUGAAGAGAACUUAGAUUUUAGUCCUUAAAUUACUUAUACUCACUUGUGGUCUUGGAGGGCCACUGUCCACUAGCUUUUAGAGAUAACUUAAAAUUCUUAAUGAGUAACAACAUGGAAACAGUGGUAGUGUAGGCUGAUUAAAUGAAAAGAUCCCAGGGUGGAAGGAAAACCAGAAGGCACAGCAUCCUUCCAGGACUAGAAGUGAAUACCAGUGUCCUAAACAAUCUCUAAAUUAUAAAAUUUAACAAAUCACUCAUUUAAUUGAUCACAAUGGAAGAUGCACAACUGCUUUCAAAAUACACACAACCUCUCCCAAUAUGGCCCUUAGAUACAGUAUAUUGCCAUUCAAAUGCUGCUUCACUUUAGACAACUAGUGCCUGGAGGAGAGGGAAACCAUUGGGCACUGGACACCCCAGUUCCACUAUGAUACACUACAUUUCAUUUUUCAGUAUUUGUGCAGCCCUGUUUGUGUAAUCUAUGUAUAUAAUUUUGAAAGUGUUCCGUGAUGUCUUAUGAAGGGCGAUAUAAAAUAU
This is a long non-coding RNA of Lepisosteus oculatus (spotted gar), 1626 nucleotides long. RefSeq lists it as uncharacterized. The record is from RefSeq and is a predicted model, not a curated record. Lineage: Eukaryota; Metazoa; Chordata; Actinopteri; Semionotiformes; Lepisosteidae.